GCUGGGUGGAGUGGCAUGCACCUGGGAUCCCAAACACUUGGGAAGCUGAGGCAGGGGGAUCACAAGAUUUGAGUCUCAGCAACUUUUUGAGAUCCUUUCUCAA
This 103-nucleotide small RNA is filed under the name Marmota monax (woodchuck). Lineage: Eukaryota; Metazoa; Chordata; Mammalia; Rodentia; Sciuridae. The record is from RNAcentral.